CCGAGUUAGGGUCCUUGAGGCCCGACCUCCAACCCUGUGUUUAUCUGACUGUGUUGCUUCGGCGGGCCCGCUGGCCCUCCUGCGUUGGGAGGAGGCUGGCCGCCGGGGGGAACGUUUCGGACGACCCCUGGCCCGUGCCUGUCGAUGGCCAACCUCACAAACUCAUGAUGAACUGUGUUGUCUUAAAGUACCAAAUUAAAUACAAGUUA
This 209-nucleotide unclassified non-coding RNA is filed under the name uncultured Ascomycota. RNAcentral's name for it is "sequence contains ITS1". Lineage: Eukaryota; Fungi; Ascomycota. The record is from RNAcentral.